CCUACGGGAGGCAACAGUGAGGAAUAUUGGUCAAUGGACGAGAGUCUGAACCAGCCAAGUAGCGUGAAGGAUGACUGCCCUAUGGGUUGUAAACUUCUUUUAUAUGGGAAUAAAAUGUUCCACGUGUGGGAUUUUGUAUGUACCAUAUGAAUAAGGAUCGGCUAACUCCGUGCAAGCAGCGGCGGUAAUACGGAGGAUCCGAGCGUUAUCCGGAUUUAUUGGGGUUAAAGGGAGCGUAGGUGGAUUGUUAAGUCAGUUGUGAAAGUUUGCGGCUCAACCGGAAAAUUGCAGUUGAGAAUGGCAGUCUUGAGUACAGUAGAGGUGGGCGGAAUGCGUGGUGUAGCGGUGAAAUGCUUAGAUAUCACGAAGAACUCCGAUUGCGAAGGCAGUUCACUGGACUGCAACUGACACUGAGGCUCGAAAGUGUGGGUAUCAAACAGGAUUAGAUACCCUAGUAGUC
Molecule: ribosomal RNA, 460 nt
Filed under: uncultured bacterium
Lineage: Bacteria
Description: partial 16S ribosomal RNA
Rfam family: Bacterial small subunit ribosomal RNA
Source: RNAcentral